This 65-nucleotide transfer RNA is filed under the name Nasutitermes acajutlae. RNAcentral describes it as "tRNA-Glu". RNAcentral also lists the same sequence under 10 other names. Lineage: Eukaryota; Metazoa; Arthropoda; Insecta; Blattodea; Termitidae. The record is from RNAcentral.
AUUUAUAUAGUUUAGAACAAACAUUACACUUUCACUGUAAAGACAAAGAAGCUCUUUUAUAAAUA